This 392-nucleotide ribosomal RNA is filed under the name uncultured bacterium. RNAcentral describes it as "bacterial SSU rRNA". It matches the Rfam family "Bacterial small subunit ribosomal RNA", at positions 505 to 898 of the family's 1533-position model. The record is from RNAcentral.
GUGUCAGCCGCCGCGGUAAUACGUAGGUGGCAAGCGUUGUCCGGAAUUACUGGGCGUAAAGGGUGCGUAGGCGGUUUAUUAAGUGGGAUGUGAAAUACCCGGGCUCAACUCGGGAACUGCAUUCCAAACUGGUAAGCUAGAGUGCAGGAGAGGAAAGUGGAAUUCCCAGUGUAGCGGUGAAAUGCGUAGAGAUUGGGAGGAACACCAGUGGCGAAGGCGACUUUCUGGACUGUAACUGACGCUGAGGCACGAAAGUGUGGGGAGCAAACAGGAUUAGAUACCCUGGUAGUCCACACUGUAAACUAUGAGUACUAGGUGUAGGGGGCGAAGCCCUCUGUGCCGCAGUUAACACAUUAAGUACUCCGCCUGGGAAGUACGAUCGCAAGAUUAAA